RNAcentral lists this ribosomal RNA (434 nucleotides) under uncultured Lachnospiraceae bacterium. RNAcentral's name for it is "bacterial SSU rRNA". It matches the Rfam family "Bacterial small subunit ribosomal RNA", at positions 341 to 792 of the family's 1533-position model. Lineage: Bacteria; Bacillati; Bacillota; Clostridia; Lachnospirales; Lachnospiraceae. The record is from RNAcentral.
ACGGAAGGCAGCAGUGGGGAAUAUUGGGCAAUGGGCGCAAGCCUGACCCAGCAAUGCCGCGUGAAGGAAGAAGGCUUUCGGGUUGUAAACUUCUUUUAAGUGGGACGAUAAUGACGGUACCACUUGAAUAAGCUCCGGCUAACUACGUGCCAGCAGCCGCGGUAAUACGUAGGGGGCAAGCGUUAUCCGGAUUUACUGGGUGUAAAGGGAGCGUAGACGGCAUGGCAAGUCUGAUGUGAAAGGUGGGGGCUCAACCCCCAAACUGCAUUGGAAACUGUCAGGCUAGAGUGCAGGAGGGGUAAGUGGAAUUCCUAGUGUAGCGGUGAAAUGCGUAGAUAUUAGGAGGAACACCGGUGGCGAAGGCGGCUUACUGGACUGUAACUGACGUUGAGGCUCGAAAGCGUGGGGAGCAAACAGGAUUAGAUACCCUGGUA